AUAGUUUGUCUUUGGCAUUUAUUACAAACUUGUCAAUACAUUUGUCUUUCUCUGUAAAGAUUUAUUUAUAUGUAUGUUUAUUAUUUUACAGUGUUUUAACAUGUUUUUGUAUUUUUCAUGUUUAUGAUAUUUUUGAAUGACUGAAGAUUCAGCGCAGAAUUCAAUAAUCCUGUGGAUGGACCGCAGCGAGUCCUUUUGCAGUUAUCCAUCAAAAAGAUAUGCAGACAUAAUGGAAAUGGCAUUUACAUUGUAGAGCUUGGAUGAAGUUCACACAGGCUCUGCGCAGGAAUUCAUCAAGGACAUGACUGCUGGGAUUACGCUUGUGGAUGACCAAACUGAGCACCAUCAGUCUGCAGUGAUGUGAUCCAGCCAUCCAGUGACAUUAAGGAUGUUGAGAAAGAAAUUGAAGAGGGCAUUCUGAUUGUAACUGAGGAACAGCAAUGUGAUGUGCUUCCCAAGGAAUAACCAACAUUGGUCUCAUUUGGACAUCCUGUCAUCACUGACAUCUCCCAUGUCCCCAAGGCAUUUGGACUCUUAAUGGCUCUGUAUGCAGUGAACAUCCACCACCUCCAGCGCAUUAAAUACACCAUUGAGGCUCUGCAAAAACUUGUGAAGACCAGCUGCUCCCACCAUGUGCUCGCUACCGCGGCAGGAACUGUAGGUGUGAGGGAGUGAAUGUCCAGCGCUCUCUCCACCCUCAACACCACAAAUAAGGUGUCCUUGAACAAGGCACAACUUCUCCCCGGGUACUGCAGCAUAAAUGGCUGCCCACUGCUCUGGGUGUGUGUUCACGGUGUGUGUUCACUGCUGUGUGUGUGCACUUUGGAUGGGUUAAAUGAAGAGCACAAAUGCAUGUCAUGUCACUUUCACUUUUCAGUGUUCAUGAUGUGUCCAUCGGCUCCACAGCACUCUUUCUUAAAAAGUAGUGUUUUUUUUUUUUUUUUUUUUUAUAAGGAAAGGUUCAUUUGUGCCUUUCACUAUAUAGAAUGUACAUUAAAGUUUACAUGUCAUGACUUGGAAUAUGCAUGUUCUCAUGUAAACAAAUGUUUUUUCACCUCUCAUUUUCUUAAACAGUAUGUACACAUUUUCAGUAUGUAGCAUUAUGAUGGGGGACGAGUUUGGAAACUUUCAAGAUCCUUCUGAUGUUAACACCUCUGUCUGGUCAUGUUGUGCUGUGAAAUUUAGAAUCUGACUUUAGAUCUUUGUGCUUCCAUGUGCAUUCAUUCCAUUUAUAUCUUAUUAUACAGAAGUACAGUACACUCAUUUUUUGUAACUAAUUGUGAUAUUAUAUUACAUAUAUCUUGGUUUCUCAUUUUGACCAUGACUUGCAUUAUGGUGGGGGGAGUGCAUGUGAACUUGUGCAGGGUUAAUAUGCUGAGUUCAACCUUCUGAUUUUCAUAUUGAGUUAUGAAAUUAAAAACAAUCCCUGUGGUUUUGAUCUGAUGAAUUGAAAUGCAACUAUUUGUUUCUCAAUCCCAUGCCAAUGUUAUUUAUUAUACAUCACACUUUCAAGUGUCGGUUCAGAUCUUUAGACGUGUUUGUAUUUUGCAUUUUUUGUUUUGUUUAUCAAUUAUCAGUUGAUGUGUUGACAGCAAAUUGCUUGUUCAAUUUAAAUGUGAAUGAAAGUGU
Molecule: long non-coding RNA, 1629 nt
Organism: Carassius gibelio (silver crucian carp)
Lineage: Eukaryota; Metazoa; Chordata; Actinopteri; Cypriniformes; Cyprinidae
Exons: 3
Source: RefSeq, a predicted model, not a curated record